The submitters of this non-coding RNA (549 nucleotides) gave its source as unclassified sequences. The record is from Rfam.
AUAUGAAUUAUGCUUUAUGGUCAACUCGGUUAAAAAGGCGGCUCCACCGCUCCGAGGCACAGGGUAGUACUCAGUUAAUGUGCAUAAGGAUACUUUUGCAAAAAGGCUGUUAAUCAUUAGCGAUAAUGAUUAAGAAGAAGAAAAUCCUCAACAGUAAACCUGUGGCGCAAAGUUGAUCGUAUUGAAAAGCACGGAACUUCCGGGCGCAAUAAUACACGCUCGCAGUGCGAGAAUAAACCUGAAAGCUUAUCGGCGUGGCAGCCGAUGAUUACUCAGGUAAAGCCAUCAAUGCACUUUGCCUUGACUUCGAGAAAUCGGAUAUAACGGAAGACUCCGGUAAUGGUAGCCGAAUGGCAAUAAAUGAACUUUUACCUAAUUGAAUGGUCGGUGACAUUUGCAGGGAACCUAUCCUGUGUAAGAUGUGGUUUUUAAAACUGGGGUAAGUAGUUAGGGGUAGAUCCCCGAAGCUCAAACUUAUCUCCUUACUUGCUGAAGAUCAAUGCGUGAAAACAAUGUACGGCGAAGGUCGGACCAUAAAGUAUAGUUGAU